AAUUGAAUAUUAUUCAUCAGGAAAAUUCCAGGCACUUUGGAACAUUUUUACGAGCAACUCCAUGAGGUGCAAUGUGGAACAUCAAGUCUACUUCCAGUGCCCCAAAUGAAGAAAUCCAGAUAAUAAUCCGAAAUUGGUUUUGAUUCUCCAAAGACCGUGAUGGAGGUUGAGAAAAACGGAGAAAUGAUCCAGCACCCAAUCACAUGUAACUAGGCCAAGUGCCAAUAAGUAAAUUUUUAGAGAAUCUCAAACAUCCAUAAUCUUUUUUGUAAUAAUUUUACAAUAUACAGACUUUUCAUGCAUUUAA
Nilaparvata lugens (brown planthopper) is the source of this 307-nucleotide long non-coding RNA. RefSeq lists it as uncharacterized. The transcript has 2 exons. Lineage: Eukaryota; Metazoa; Arthropoda; Insecta; Hemiptera; Delphacidae. The record is from RefSeq and is a predicted model, not a curated record.